This 864-nucleotide ribosomal RNA is filed under the name uncultured archaeon. RNAcentral's name for it is "SSU rRNA". It matches the Rfam family "Archaeal small subunit ribosomal RNA", at positions 474 to 1337 of the family's 1478-position model. The record is from RNAcentral.
UACCNGGAGCCACAAGUGGUAAUCACAAUUAUUGGGUCUAAAGCGUCCGUAGCCGGUUUGGUAAGUUUCUUGUGAAAUUGUCAGGCUCAACCUGACAACGGGCAAGAAAUACUGCCAGACUUGAGACCGGGAGAGGAUAAAAGUAUUUCAGGGGGAGCGGUAAAAUGUUAUAAUCCCUGAAGGACUACCGAUGGCGAAGGCAUUUAUCCAGAACGGGUCUGACGGUGAGGGACGAAGGCCAGGAGAACGAUAAGGAUUAGAUACCCUAGUAGCCCUGGCAGUAAACGCUGUGAGCUAUGUGUUGCAUGUUCUUCAUGGACGUGCAGUGCCGUAGAGAAGUCGUUAAGCUCACCACCUGGGAAGUACGGUCGCAAGGCUGAAACUUAAAGGAAUUGGCGGGGGCGCGUCACAAGGAGUGGGGCGUGCGGUUUAAUUGGAUUCUACGCCGGAAAUCUCACCGGGAGCGACGGCAGGAUGAAGGUCAGAUUAAAGGUCUUACCUGACGAGCCGAGAGAUAUUGCAUGGCCGUCGUCAGUUCGUGCUGUGAAGUGUCCUGUCAAGUCAGGCAACGAACGAGACCUACACUUACAUUUGCUAACGUUUCCUUUUGGAAGUAUGAGCACAAUGUAAGGACUGCCCUUGAAAAAGGGAGGAAGGUGUAGGCAACGGUAGGUCAGUAUGGUUCGAAUCUUCCGGGCUACACGCGCGCAACAAUGACAUGGACAGUGGGAUACGACUCUGAAAAGAGAAGUCAAUCUCGAAACCAUGCCCAAGUUCAGAUUGAAGGUUGUAACUCACCUUCAUGACGCUGGAAUUCCUAGUAAUCGGGUUUCAUCAUGGCCCGGUGAAUACGUCAACGUGCCU